RNAcentral lists this ribosomal RNA (115 nucleotides) under Oscillospiraceae bacterium. The record is from RNAcentral. Lineage: Bacteria; Bacillati; Bacillota; Clostridia; Eubacteriales; Oscillospiraceae.
CGGUGUCUUUAACGAUGAGGUUCCACCCGUUCCCAUCCCGAACACGGCAGUUAAGCUCAUCCGUGCCUACGAUACUUGCGGCUCCCGCCGCCGGGAAAAUCGGUCGUCGCCGACA